This 73-nucleotide transfer RNA is filed under the name Candidatus Bathyarchaeota archaeon. RNAcentral describes it as "tRNA-Asp". It matches the Rfam family "tRNA". Rfam says of the family: Transfer RNA (tRNA) molecules are approximately 80 nucleotides in length. Their secondary structure includes four short double-helical elements and three loops (D, anti-codon, and T loops). Further hydrogen bonds mediate the characteristic L-shaped molecular structure. tRNAs have two regions of fundamental functional importance: the anti-codon, which is responsible for specific mRNA codon recognition, and the 3' end, to which the tRNAs corresponding amino acid is attached (by aminoacyl-tRNA synthetases). tRNAs cope with the degeneracy of the genetic code in two manners: having more than one tRNA (with a specific anti-codon) for a particular amino acid; and 'wobble' base-pairing, i.e. permitting non-standard base-pairing at the 3rd anti-codon position. The record is from RNAcentral. Lineage: Archaea; Thermoproteati; Candidatus Bathyarchaeota.
GCUCCAUGAGUUCGUGUGGUAGAAUAGCCGCCUGUCGAGCGGAAGGUUGUGGGUUCAACUCCCAUAUGGAGCG